UGGGGAAUAUUGCACAAUGGGGGGAAACCCUGAUGCAGCGACGCCGCGUGGAGGAAGAAGGUCUUCGGAUUGUAAACUCCUGUCGUUGAGGACGAUAAUGACGGUACUCAACAAGAAAGCCACGGCUAACUACGUGCCAGCAGCCGCGGUAAAACGUAGGUGGCAAGCGUUGUCCGGAAUUACUGGGUGUAAAGGGAGCGCAGGCGGAAGCGCAAGUUGGAUGUGAAACCCAUGGGCUCAACCCAUGGCCUGCAUCCAAAACUGUGUUUCUUGAGUAGUGCAGAGGUAGGCGGAAUUCCCGGUGUAGCGGUGGAAUGCGUAGAUAUCGGGAGGAACACCAGUGGCGAAGGCGGCCUACUGGGCACCAACUGACGCUGAGGCUCGAAAGCAU
Molecule: ribosomal RNA, 391 nt
Filed under: uncultured Faecalibacterium sp.
Lineage: Bacteria; Bacillati; Bacillota; Clostridia; Eubacteriales; Oscillospiraceae
Description: bacterial SSU rRNA
Rfam family: Bacterial small subunit ribosomal RNA
Source: RNAcentral